GGACUGUGGCUCAGUGGUAGAGUACUUGCCUAGCAUGUGUGAAGCACUGGGUUCAAUUCUCAGCACCA
This 68-nucleotide transfer RNA is filed under the name Marmota monax (woodchuck). Its description in RNAcentral is "tRNA.Ala". The stretch from base 5 to 65 matches the Rfam family "tRNA", at positions 6 to 65 of the family's 71-position model. From Rfam's summary of the family: Transfer RNA (tRNA) molecules are approximately 80 nucleotides in length. Their secondary structure includes four short double-helical elements and three loops (D, anti-codon, and T loops). The record is from RNAcentral. Lineage: Eukaryota; Metazoa; Chordata; Mammalia; Rodentia; Sciuridae.